RNAcentral lists this ribosomal RNA (465 nucleotides) under uncultured Solirubrobacter sp. Its description in RNAcentral is "bacterial SSU rRNA". It matches the Rfam family "Bacterial small subunit ribosomal RNA", at positions 338 to 795 of the family's 1533-position model. Lineage: Bacteria; Bacillati; Actinomycetota; Thermoleophilia; Solirubrobacterales; Solirubrobacteraceae. The record is from RNAcentral.
CCUACGGGGGGCAGCAGUGGGGAAUCUUGCGCAAUGCGCGAAAGCGUGACGCAGCAACGCCGCGUGGAGGAAGACGGCCCUCGGGUUGUAAACUCCUUUCAGUUGGGACGAAGCUCAACUGGUUAAUAGCCAGAUGGAGUGACGGUACCUUCAGAAGAAGCCCCGGCUAACUACGUGCCAGCAGCCGCGGUAAUACGUAGGGGGCUAGCGUUGUCCGGAAUCAUUGGGCGUAAAGAGCGUGUAGGCGGUCCGGUAAGUCCGCUGUGAAAGUCGGGGGCUCAACCCUCGAAUGCCGGUGGAAACUGUCGGGCUAGAGUGCGGAAGAGGCGAGUGGAAUUCCUGGUGUAGCGGUGAAAUGCGCAGAUAUCAGGAGGAACACCAAUUGCGAAGGCAGCUCGCUGGGACGUUACUGACGCUGAGACGCGAAAGCGUGGGGAGCAAACAGGCUUAGAUACCCCGGUAGUC